RNAcentral lists this ribosomal RNA (421 nucleotides) under uncultured beta proteobacterium. RNAcentral's name for it is "bacterial SSU rRNA". It matches the Rfam family "Bacterial small subunit ribosomal RNA", at positions 9 to 431 of the family's 1533-position model. Lineage: Bacteria; Pseudomonadati; Pseudomonadota; Betaproteobacteria. The record is from RNAcentral.
GAGUUUGAUCAUGGCUCAGAUUGAACGCUGGCGGCAUGCCUUACACAUGCAAGUCGAACGGCAGCGGGGGAAAGCUUGCUUUCCUGCCGGCGAGUGGCGAACGGGUGAGUAAUACAUCGGAACGUGCCCUGUAGUGGGGGAUAACUAGUCGAAAGAUUAGCUAAUACCGCAUACGACCUGAGGGUGAAAGUGGGGGACCGCAAGGCCUCAUGCUAUAGGAGCGGCCGAUGUCUGAUUAGCUAGUUGGUGGGGUAAAGGCCUACCAAGGCGACGAUCAGUAGCUGGUCUGAGAGGACGAUCAGCCACACUGGGACUGAGACACGGCCCAGACUCCUACGGGAGGCAGCAGUGGGGAAUUUUGGACAAUGGGCGAAAGCCUGAUCCAGCAAUGCCGCGUGUGAAGAAGGCCUCGGUUGUAAGC